This is a long non-coding RNA of Bubalus bubalis (water buffalo), 11967 nucleotides long. RefSeq lists it as uncharacterized. Lineage: Eukaryota; Metazoa; Chordata; Mammalia; Artiodactyla; Bovidae. The record is from RefSeq and is a predicted model, not a curated record. The transcript is spliced from 4 exons.
UAUCCAGGGUUUCUACUUCUCUCAAAGUCUCAGAGUACUAGGGGAAAAGGAUAGAAAGAAGGAAUGGAAACUGCAAAUAUCCCUUUCCCCUUUCAUUGCUCUGGUCAGUAGAGGUCUGCCUGUCUGGACCAAAACCUGAUCUGUGCAUCCAAGUACCCAGAAGCAGAGGCACAUUAACAGGAGCCCAGGGAGUUCACUGACACGUAGCCCAGGAAUCCUCUGCAACGUCACACUGCCUGACUACUGUUCCCUUGUGCCAGGGCUGUACCCAGGACCCUGUCACCAACCUGGAGAGUCCCUGCAUGACUCCUUCAGUGACAGCAGCCUCAGCUACUGUUUGGAGCCCAGGUGGUAUACCCAGAGCUCAAGAGCAGAAGUGUCUCCACUCUGACUGAGAAGGACAAGGAGCCAUCUUUUCCGAGCACAUGAAGCCCUGAGCAACUGGGCUCAUCGGUUCCAGCUGCAUCCUGACCACAAAGCCACGUUCUCACCACCCAGAGUCUGGCUCCCCACCUGUGGCAGCCCAGCUAUCUGUGUGCUGCUGGGCUGCUCACUGCUGAGCCUGGGGCCAUUCUGCCUGACAGCCAAAGCCACAGCCUAGAGGUGACUCCCACCUGAGGCAGUUCUACAAACUUCUCCUGCACAGCAGCUGCGCCUCGUUCAUCUUGAAGUCACCUUGGAAUUCAUCUUAUUCAUCACCAGAUACAGAGCCUAGCACCUUCUGACACAGAUAAGGUGCUCAACACAUGCGUGGAGUGCCUGGAAGCCCGAUGAAAACUAGAACCAGGAUUCUGCCAAGAUCUCAGCAUAUAUUCACUGCUCUGGCCAAAGAGGAGCUUUAACCCAGGAGACUCAGCCCUGCCUAAUGCUGAGCCAGUGCAGACAGAAGCAGCCAAAAGGUCCGCAGGUCCAGACCUACAAGACGAUGGGAUGUGCAAUGAGAAUGCUGCUUUGGUAUGUAUUGGACAUUGAGUCUUGCCCAAGAAACUAUCAUAUGCUAUCACCACCAGGGCUUCCUGGCCCAUAGGAGAGGGCUUUUGCUUGUUUUCCUGCUCAAAGCUCAUGUUUCCCAGAUGAAACUGGCACACGCCUCAAAUUCCAGCCCCACUGAUUUUGACUUUCUGCCUCACUCUUUCCAGACUCUAUUCUACUGGUGCGCAUGUGCCCUGGCCUCCUCUAACGUCCUUCCUCCUAGAAAUGCUCUCUGAGAGUUUAUUUCAGGUUGCAAUGACUAUGCAGAGCUCAGGUUUGAACAUGACAUUGCCUAAAAAUUCUCAUGACUGCCUUUGCCUCUCCCACACUCAACACUCACACUUCUCUAUGCCAUCACCAAUGCCAUCAGUUUGGGCAUUUUAGAGUCCACUCUUGCCCAGUUUCAUACCUGUGUGUGGAUCCUUCUAUUCACAAUGUUUUAUUCUCCCCUAUAAGCCCACACUGCUAAGAUCCCAGCAUGUUUUAUAGAAGAGACCGCAAAGUUCAUAGCAGAAUCAGAUUCUUAGGACCAGAAAGGACGUCAUGGGUUAUUUGUGACAAUUCUUUCCUGCACAGCCAUCACAACUAUUCAGAGAGACAUCCAAACAAAACAGACAUCGUGAAGCUUAUAAAGGGAAGUGGGGAUCCAUACAGUACACAGCUCUGUACAACCAGACAUUCAAUUUCAUCUCAGAACCUAACAAGAACACAGGGUAGCUCAUUGACUGCAUGGUGUGUUGAGUAUUCCCUUGACAAUGUACACAGUCAAAUACAUCAACACUUUCAAAUAGUCCAAAUGUCUAGGCGUGGCAUUCAAUAUCCCCUUUAAUCUGAUCUAAUCCUACCUUAUUAGAUUCAUCUCAUAACUGCUUGCUAGUUCCAGAAUUCCUUUGUGUUUUUCUUCCUUUGCAUUUUUGUCAUUCAAAUGUGUAUAUCCUUACUGCUUUCUAAUCUUAAGACCAAAUCUUCCCCAUCCUAUAAUGAUUGAGAAGCAUGUAUUUCCUCUGAGGGAACAUGUAUUCCUCUGGGCUUGGAUGUAACAAAUGCCACACAUGAAAUAACUUUUCACUCCCAUCCAGGUGGUGAAAGGAGCUGUGAACCUCACAACUUUUAAUAGCUACACCUUCCAAUAUAAUUUCCACUAAUCACAUGUGGCUAUUUUAAUUUUUAAAAAUUGAAAAUUUAUUUCCUUUAUUACACCAACACAUUUCAAGUGCUCAGUGAACACAUAGUUAAUGGCUAGCAAGUUGACCAGUGUAGAGAUAUAGAACAUUUUCAUUGUUCUAGAAUGCUCUAUUGGAUGACAUUGAUUCUAACCCUUUAGUUAGGUUAAGUUCCUUGAGAAAGUUAUCCUAUUAAAAAGCCCUACCCCCAAGUACUUACUCCAUGGUACAUGUAUACACCAAGGGCAUAGAAAAAACCCAUGAUUCCAAGGAAGGCCAGGGACACUAUGAACUUGAAGGCAUCAUUGUACAGUUUGAAGUUCAGAGGCUGGGGGUAGAGGAUGGAUCUCACCAAGUCCCCUUUGGCUGUAUUGUAACCUACAUGAAGAUAAUCACAAGUGGUGUAAGGUCCUUUAAUACAUUUUCCCCUAAAAGAAAAAAAUGGUUUGCAUUGAAUUAAGAAUUAGUUAAUAGAGUCAUUUGAAUAUGGAAUUAAAACAGCAUUGUUGUGACCUAACAGUUUUACAUUUAUUAUUCUUCCAAAUUGCCAGGAAUAAUAAAUGGUGUUCACUUAGCCCUUCUCAAUUUCUCUUGCUCUGGGGGUCAGUGCUUCAGUGGCUCAAACAAUGUAACCCCUACUUCAUAUACGGGGCUGAGAAAAAGACCAAGGAGCUGAUGAAGGCAAUGACCAGAGAACAAGAGAUGCUGAGAGAAGAAGACUUAAAGAAAAGUAUGUGUUGAAAGUAAUGGAAAAUUAAGAGAAAAGUAAAGCACAAGGCCAAGUAAUUUUAUAUGCCUCUGGUCAUGUUAUUCUUAAAUUCAAAAACCUUCCAGACCACACACAUUUUAGAAUACAGUUCAAAUUUGUAGGCAUAGCAUUUGAGGUCUCCUGCCUCACUAGGCUUAUCCCUAGUCCCUGCUCCCUGGUCCCAGAGACCUCCAUGCAUUCCUUCUUUUAUGUUUCUUAGAUACAAAUUAGCCUAUUUUUCCAGUUCUCUGAUGUGAUUGGUUAAAUCCUUCCCUUUUAUCAGGUUUGGCUCAAAAUACCAUCUCUUCAAAUAAGUAUUUCCAGAAUUCUACUCCCAUAUUUCAUAAUCAAAGUAAUUUCUCCCUCUGUCUGUAAUUUACAGCUGGUAUUUGCCAGUUUUAAGAAAGGAUAAAAACCAACUUGGUUGUAUGACAUCCCUCUAUGCACUGUGUUUUGUAGGCUAUAAAUCCAUCUGUCUCUUGUAUCAAAUCAUAAUCUUCUUUGAGGGCAAAGAGUAUCUCACAUUUGUUUUUCUUUAGCCCUCUAUGCAUAGCACUUAGUAGAUACUCAUUCACCUCUAAAGUACUGGCAAAAAGAUUGACUACUAUAUAUUCCAGACAUGAAUCAGUAUUGUAAGUAUAGUGAAAGUGAAAUCGUUCAGUCGUGUCUGACUCUUUGCAACCCCAUGGACUGUAGCCUACGAGAUUCCUCCAUCCAUGGAAUUUUUCAGGCAAGAGAACUGGAGUGGGUUGCCAUUUCCAAGCAUGCUUUAAUCCCACUUCUUGAUGAACAUCUGCUCUCCUCAAACAUGGCUUUGUAGACUUUGAAGGAAAACAGCCAAAUUUUCUCUAACCUGUUGCUUUAGCAUUUUACAAGCUUAGAUCAGGAGUUUUCAUGAUCUACACCCAUUAGCUUUUUCUUAGGCAGCAGCUUGAGGGAUAUUCUCAUGUCCACUGACUACUUUGAGCAUAAAAGCCCCUCAAACCUUGAUAUUUGUAUUAAAAAACUAGGUAGAACAGUUGAAUCAUGGACUAAACUAAAGCAUAGAAAUAUCAAAAUGCAAGAUAUAUUUUGGGUUUAUGAAUAUGUGGGGGGCAGAAAUACAGGUCAUGGGUAAAUACAGAGCUGAGACCAGAUCAUGGAAGGUAUUGAUCAUGUAAUGUCAUGUGAAAGAAUGGGACUAAUAUGGGUCGUCUUGAAACACUCUUGAGCAUGGUAUUUAUGAAUCGCUCCAAACUAUGUUUUAGAAGUGUGACUUGGUGACAGAUUGAGGAAUAGGUUAGAGAAAAAUUGAGCAAGGCAUAAAAAAACAAUAUUUAAGGUGAAAAAUUAAAGGGAUACUUUCAAAUAAAUAUUUCUUCUGUAAUAAUUUAGACAUGAAAUGAUAACUUAGAUAACACCAACUAUGAGGAUGAAGAAGAGGGAGGGAGACAGGAUGCAGGAGGUAUUUGCAGAAUCCGUAGGAUGUGGUGCCCUGUUUGGUAGCAGAGAAAAUGAGGAGUAAAGACAAUAUGAGGAAACUUGCUAGAUGGUGAUGAUGGCUACAGAAAGAGGCACUAGAGGAGUAUGAGUCCCCUUGUAGAUGCCUUGACUUUGAAGAAUCUUUGGACCUGUUGAAGGCAUCCAGUAAAAACCUUGAGAUAACAGCCUGGCAUAUGACUCUUAAAGAAAAAUUUCUCAAGUGAUCAUGGUUGAAACUAUUUUCUUGGUAAUCACUUAGAGGAAGUACAGAGUGAAAAGAGCAGAAGUCUAUGGACUCAUAGUAAACCCAAGAACACAGUUUUGCCUUUGAGGAAGUGUACUUCAUCCCCGUAUGCACUUCAUCACAAACAACAGUAUUCACAAUGAACAGUUCAGUUGGAAAUGGCAGCAACCUGGAAUAAUAAGCAUUUCAUGGGAAACCAGAAUGUGACAAACUCCAUAACUGUAAACAAGAUUUCCCUAACCCAGCUCCCCCACCUCUAAUCAUAGAUGAUGUUUACAAAAAUGGAAUCUACUGACCUGUUUGCAAAACGACUGCUCUUACUGACCCCUGCCCAGAGGGCUUGACCUGAAUAACUUCUGUUCCACAGAAAAGGACGUGCUUCCGAUAAUCUUCCAAGCUGUGGGAUUUCCAGGCUGUGGUGUUCUCUGCAUGGGGCAGGGGUAUCUUUGUAACAGGUAUACUUUCUCCUAAAGAAGAUGGUAUUUUUUUGAUUUUGUGUGAACUUGGGUAGUAAUUUAGAGCUGGUAUUCACCAGUUUCAAGAAAGGAUAGAAACCACAGUUUAUCUGUUUGUUCAUUCCUAUCUCAAAAGUCAGAUGACUAUUCAAUCUUAAGGAUAUUAGUGAUGCAAGCAGUGGUAUACUUGAUUAUAUUUCAAAUAUUUGUUUAAGAGUUGCCUAUCUUUCCCAUACCUGGCCAGUAUGGUUUACUGUUUUUUAUUUAAAAAGCAUCCCAUUUUAGAGAAAGGAGUUGCCACUUAAUCAUUUUCCUAAGUUUUCUUUAAGCCCAGCACUAUUCUAGGCAUGAAGAAGCUACAAAGCAUGUUAUUAUUAGUUAUUAUUACUUGCCUCUUAUUCACUUGUUUAUCUGUCCAUUCAUCCAUUGAUUUGGCAAAUGUGUCUAAGUGCUUAUUCCAUACCAGGCAUUGCUUUAGAUGCUGGCAACAUAAUAAUGAAUAAGACAGAAAUUCUGACCUAAAGCUCAGGGAGCCAGGCCCAUAAAUAUCAGUAAAUAAUUAAUUAAAAUGACAGUGUGGUAAAUAUUUUGGUAGCAGAACCAGGUGAUCUGAAGAUCCAACCCAAAAGGAAGAUCAGGAAAGAUUUUGUGUGCAAGUAAUAGGUGACAAUUGAAAGGCAAUAAGCUCAGUCAGCUUAAGGAGGAGGAGAGAGCAUUUUUAGGAGAUCUAAGAGAAAGAGAAUGGUGUGCUCUGGGUAUUAAUGGCAGUUGAGGGUGUUUGGAAUGUUGAGUUUGGGGUAGAGGAAAGCAGCCCUGGAAGUACAGAGAUGGGUGAAAAAUGAUGCCUGCAGAAAAUCUGUACAAUAUUCUCAGUACUCUUCAUGCUGGGGUGGAAGGAGAGGGAAACGGAUGAAGAUUGUCAAAAGGUACCAGCUUCUCAGUAAGAUAAAUAAGUAAUAGGGAUGUAAUGUAAACAUGAUAAAUAUGAUUAACACUGAAUAUGACCUUUACUGUUGCAUGCUAUAUAUGAAAUUUGUUGUAAGAAUAAAUCCGAAGGGUUCUCAUCAUAAGAAAUUUUUUAAAUUUCUUUUUUAUUUAUUUGUUUUUUGUGAGAUGAUGGAUGUUCACUGAACUUGUAAUCAUUUCAUUAUGUAAGUCAAGUCAUGCUAUAUACCUUACAUUUAUACAGUGCUGUAUGUUAAUUACAUCUCAAAUCUCGAAGAAAAAAAUAUUCUUCAUGAUCUUUUUUGGAGCUUGCAGUGAAAUAGAAAUUAAUGUAACAAGAUAGGACCUCUGUUUCCUCUUCCUCUUUCUGGAUGACCUCAGCUGUACUUCCAUUAAUUGGCAUGUCUAAAAAGAUAUCCCAGUAAUGCCUAGCUCCAUCUUUCCUCUCUCCUGGGCCCUUGUUUGGUGCUUCUCGGUUGUUGGCUGUUCAUCUCAACCUGGAUAUUCUACUAGCCUCUGGAACUCAACAUUUCUAAAAUCUGUAUCAAUAUCUUUAGCCCUAAAUUUCCUCUUCAAUAAAAUUUCGGUUUCUCUUAAGGUCUUACCUUGUUGCUGAAUCACAGAUUUACAGUCUCAGAACCAUUUUGAUUCCUCCUCUUUCCAUAAUCUGCCUUUUCACAGAAUGAUUUUCCAAGUCCUAACGUACCUUCCUCUGAGUGUCAUUCCUGGACUCUUGCAUCUAGAUCCCAGUGGCUUAAAUGGCAAUCAUUGUUUGGUUCUUGGUGGUUGCAUUAACAAUGGAUUAGCUGUGAUUUGUUUAGCUCUCUGAAAUGCAAACACGUCCUCUGGGUAAUUUGAGGCUACAAUGGAACUAAUCAAUCUUUUUUAUAAAUAAACAUCUCAACUUUGAAGUCCUGAAUUAGGAAAAUCCCCAGUCCUUCCUUAUGUGUUUUGUCUUUAGUCUCACACCCUACUGUACUCACAAAGCUUCUGACACCAGAUGUGUAGGGGUUUUUCCUCCACAACAUGCAAUUCUGUGACAUCAGCUGAUUGUUCUAUAAUUUAACUCAAUUAAAUUCUAUUUUGAUACCAUCCACCUGCAGAUAGUGUCACAUUCCACAGGUUAAGCGUUCAGUCCUGUAAGACUGUUCCCACCCCAUUCAGAUGCAAGUUGCAAAUCCAGUUUGUCAUCUGUGCUUCUAAAACAUGACCCAUAAAUCUGAGGUUCCCAUGAUCCCUUCCUUGGAUUCAGUUAAUUUUAUAAAGCAGCUCACAGAAUUCAGGGAAAUGCCUACUUACAUUUAGCUGUUUAUUAUAGAGUAUUAUAAAGGACACAGAUGGACAACCAGGUGAAGGGAUACCUGGGGAACGGUCUGGGAGAGUUCUGAGUACAGGAACUUCUGUCCCCCUGGAGUUGGGGUGCAUCAUAUUCCUGGUAUGUGGGUGUGCUCAUUCACCUGGAAGCUCUUUGAACCCCAUACUAUUAGGAUUUUAUGGAAGCUUCCUCAUGUAGAUAUGAUUAAUUAUCAACUCCAUUUCCAGCCUUUCUUCCCUCUAUAGAGAAUGGGGGUUGAGGUUGAAAAUUCCAAGUUUCUAAUCAUGGUUUGGUCUUUCUGGGGACCAGCCCCCAUCCAAGAGCCAUCCAGGUAUCCACUAACAGCGGCCUCAUUAGAACAAGAGACGCUCCUAGUGCUUUUAUCAAGUAGGAAUUUACAAGUGUUUCAAGAGCCCUGUGCCAGGAACUGGGUCAGAGACUAACAUAUCUAUUUUCUCUUAUCUCCCAUUCUCCUAAUUGUUCCUCCCCUCCAGUCCCCCCUUUCAGUCUUCACAAACCAUUUCCAGAUGAAUCCUAACAGAGGCUCCUUUUAUUAUCUCAUUCUUUUCUCAAAAAUCCUUCAACCUUUUCAGUUGCCAUUGCUAAUAAGCCUCAAACGCUCCUGCUAGGUUGUCAGAGGCACCACCAUCUGAGCAUCCAUGGCUGUUAUCCCUCUACAGAGACUUCAGCUAAACCAGCCGUGGAUGUUUUCUAUUACUGACUCCCAUUCUUUGCCAGUAUUCUUCCUCUACUUUCCCUAAUGGAUGUACAACCAGAUAUCUCAGAUACAAAGAAAAUCAGCUCGGAGUUCAAAAAGAAUAAGCUUCAGAGACAAAAUAAAAAGGCCAAUAACACUUCUGGGCUCAUAGAUUUAAAAAGCACUAGAAUCGGUUGAAACUGUCAUCAGAUUUUUGCUAUUCAAUUAGCAAGAUAAUGUUAUAUUUCCUACUUGGAAAUACAGUUAUACUGAUUAUAGUUACACAAGUUUAGGUUCUUUCUGGUGAUCUAGGUAAUAUCAGAAGACAAGGACUUUGACAUUUAAAAUUUUUAUAUUCAGCAUUUUCCCAGGGAAUCCCAGGAAAGGAUGGAUUCUCCAAACAAAAGUUUGGAUAUCUAUGUAGGCUGGAGAGGGUUUCAGAAGGAAAGACACUCACAGCCAACUGUUCACUUGGCUUCUGAGACCCGAAGAUCCUGGCUGCUGUGAAAUUGAAACUCCCUCCUUUGUCCACAAUGAGCCAGAUGUCUCUACAUGGUGACAGGGUUUUGAAAGGUCAGGUCCUUGUUUAUUUAUACUUCUGGGACCAUCAGAUUAUAAACUACUUGAGGGCAGGGACCCUUUCUCAUUUCUCUUGUUGAUUCCAGCACACAGUUCAGUGCUGGCACAUAGCAGGCAUCUCUGAAACUUUAUUGAAUAAAUGGAUGAAUGAGUGAAUAAAUGAAAGAAAGACAGGAGUGAGAGAGAAGAAGAAAGGAAAACAGGAAGAGAGGAGAAGAUCUGAUCUCUCCACUGACUACAAGCUUGUCUGACAGGAUAUAAAUAUGAAAUAACCUUUUAGGGGAAUUUCUGUGUCCAGCUCAGACCACUACCUGAUUCUGCACAUACAAUUCAAAUAGAUCAGUAAUUCUAAUGAGCAGAGGGAGGGUGAGGGACUGUGGCAGAGUGAAAGUUACCCCUCCCCCUCAUAAUUAUCCCUAAGAGAACAGGGAACAGUAGUUGCAAGCGUAGGCUCUGGGGACAAAAUGGCUGGAUUUAAGUAUUUUAUUUCCUUCAUAGAACUUCCUGUUAUUGGGAAUUUAUGUCAUUUAUCUGCCUGCAUGUUUUCUGUCCUCCCACUAGAGUCCGCUCCAUGAGGGCAGAAAUCUGCCUGUUCAAUGCUGUCUCCCCAGCACCUAGUAGAGCGCCUGCUCCAUAGUGGGGGCUAAUAAACAUUUGUGGAAUGAAUGAAUGAACGAAUAAACAAAUGAAUUCUAAUUUCAGCUCUACCACUUUCAAGCUGUGUAACCUUAGGCAAAUAAAUUACCCUCUCAGGACCUCAGAUUCUCUCACUUUGCAGAGUUGUGCAUUGAAUGAAAAAACAUGUGUAAAAUGCUAGCAUAACACCUAAUACUUAUGAGAGCUAAGAAAAAUCAGCUAUUGCUACCAGGAAAAAAUUUCUCCCCAUAGUACUCCCUUUUUCCUCUGGACCCUUCAGGAAGAGCUAAAUCUUGAAGGGGAUCACUGUCUCAGGAGGCACAAGAAAAGAGCAAGGGACUGGCUUUUGAGUUUCAAAAGUCACUCAUAAAUUUACCAUAAAUUUUAGAGACCACCUGGGAGUAGGAAAAAAGCUUUUCUGCUCAUCAUGCCUUUCUUUUACUACUUUUCUUGCCAAAUAAAAAUCCAAAGACUAGGAAUUGGAAGAAAGUCUAAAGAGAGCUUGGAUAUUGUAUGUCUAUGAGAGAAGGGGCCCGAACCAAACUAGGACAUGGAAACAUUCUAGAAGUUUGUGGAAACUGAGAGCAAAUGUCACCGGGGUAUGCCUCAUUUCCUGGUAGAUAGGUCCCCGACAUUCCCCGAGCUCUGAGUGGCAUGAGGCAACCACAGAGAGGAGCGUGUCCUAGACCAGAGGCCUCUCCCCAGUACCUGGCACAACUUCUGUAGCCAGACUAGAAUGGGGGGCGUGGGGGCGGGGCUCCUGCUAACUGCUGGGGAGCUCCUGCUGACUGCUGGGAUACCUGACUUAUAUCAGAUGCUUCACACCACACACUUUCAAGAAUGGCCAAAUUUGAAGCCAAAAUUAAAAUGAAGUGUAGGUAUAAAAUAAAGUUGAGCUUUUUGCCUAGUGGAGUUUAUGACAAGAAGAUGAGGUUAAGAUGAUGCUAAGGAAAAUUCUGCAAUGCGCAUGUGCUAUAAAUGGGACUAAUCCUGAGAAAGGAAAAGGCAAGGAGACACAAAACAAAAAAAACAGUACCUAUACCCAUCCUAGAAUCAUUGUAUUCACUCCUAUGGUCCCUCAUGCCUGGAAGCCAAUCCACCUCUAACUCGGACCCUUUCACUCAUUAGCUGAGCAGCCUUAGUCUCUUCACCUCAGUUUCCCUGUCUGUAAAUUGGGUAUUAUAGUAGCGCCUAGUCUAAUUUGUUUUAUGUUACAAUGAAGUGAGAUAUAAAAGUUGUUUAUAAAAGUAUAAAUUGCUAUAGAGAUGCUAGGAAUAUUUGCUACUCUUCUUACAUAAAGACUUCUGUAUAUGUAAAGGACUAUUUUUGCACAUGGAGGAUAUUACCUGAGUCACAUUUGUGAACACAUACUCAAGAAAUACAGUUGCAGUUUCAGGAAUCUAACCUUAAUCUAAUUACUCCAUCAGGAUCCUUCCCAGGAAUACAUAGUAAGUGGGAGGAUCUAGGCAAGCUAUGUAAUAAAAUAUUCAAAGCAUGCUGGUACUGAGGUCUAUUUCAAGAAAUUAAUGCGAAAGAGAUGGCUAUAUUUCUCUUUUAUGUGUUUAUCUCUAAAGUUGACUUUAUCAAUACUUAGGCUGCAUAGAUAUUAAUACUGAUGACUUUGUUUUUCCUGAAACAGGCCCUCAGAAAAGCCACUGACCAUUUGAGGUCAUUUUAGGUCAACUUUGCACAUUUGUUAAAAGGUGGCAUUUUUGCGUUUGCUGCUUCUCUGGGACUUUCUGAGUUUUCCUAAGAAGCAGGCAAGCAUGAUCCUCCAGGUCAGAAGACCCGGGGAAGUAAACCCUGCUGUGUGUCUUCUCUCUAGUCUCACUGCCACGCUCUCUGUUGCCUUCAGAGACACUGUUCUUGGUUGUCAGGCUAUUGGAAAUGAGAGAUAGUUGUUGCCUCUGAGUGAAGAGCACGGUUAUCUUGGGUGUGAGGUUUGUACUUGAGGUACUAUGGCAACAUUCUGGAUGAGAGAUAUGAUCAGUAUGCAAAUCCUCAACACCACCAUUACAAGGCAGUUAGAUCUUAACACAUUAAAGGGGUAUUUUGUAAUUAUACUGCACAUAUUUAUGUUUACUGCAUUUUCUUGUCUCAGUUUUAAAUCAAGCAGGCUCAUCUUUAAUGGGAAAUAUGCUUCUGUUGAACAAUUUAGGAAUUAGAGAAUGACUCUCUUUAUGUUUAGGUGAUAUUAAAAAGGUUUGUGCAUGUGUUUUUUCUUUUCCUUGUCUUACACUAUUUGGGAACAGAAAAAUGCACCAACUGUAAACACAAAAGACCAAUAAUUUCUUUUUCAUGUUUCCAUAUGGUUUUUUUCUUCUUUAAUUAAGAUGCCCUGUGUAUUUUCUUCUUCUUCUUCUUUUUUUUUUUUUUUUUUUUUGGCUUAAAGAAUAGGUUAUAGAUAGUGCCUUACUAAUCACACAAAUUCAAAUGGACCGUACACAAAUGAGGACAAGGACAGUUCAAGCCGCAACUAGAAAACCAGCUUUAUGCUCAGCGAGAGCAACUGGAAACACGAUUCUAAAGAGCAGAACUGUUUUACUGCCUUUCUGGAAGACCCAACUCAAUCUUUCUCCCACUGAAAACGGGCUCAGUUUUCCAUCUACAGAAUACAGGGCUGGAUAAAAUCCCUAUGCCCUGUCAAUUGUGAGCUGACGGUUUUAGUCUGUGUUUUGUUCAAACAGGUGUAUAAACCAUCCUCAUAUUUAUAAAGAGAUGGUGCAUCAAAUAAAUAGGAUCUUCUCACCCA